This is a long non-coding RNA of Pollicipes pollicipes, 260 nucleotides long. RefSeq lists it as uncharacterized. NCBI's taxonomy places the organism in Eukaryota, Metazoa, Arthropoda, Thecostraca, Pollicipedomorpha, Pollicipedidae. The transcript has 2 exons. The record is from RefSeq and is a predicted model, not a curated record.
GUGCCAGCGCCGACCCCGACUCCGGCCCCCAAGCCGACCAAGGUCAUCGCGCCCGUGGUGGACGACCCGGGCCAGGCGAACCCCGAGGACGCUGACCUCUACACAACGCGGUCGAGCUGAUGGGCCCGGCUGUCCGCCGGCGGUGCGGCGCCACGACACGUGACGCGACCGGAGACUGUGACUGGGCUGGCUAGCCGCGCCGCCGCCCGAGUAGGCACACAGCCGUGUCUAGCAUGUUAAUAAAAAUACAGGUUUAUUAA